Molecule: non-coding RNA, 259 nt
Organism: Tetranychus urticae (two-spotted spider mite)
Lineage: Eukaryota; Metazoa; Arthropoda; Arachnida; Trombidiformes; Tetranychidae
Source: RefSeq, a predicted model, not a curated record
CUCUAUUAGGAACAAGUUUGGUUCGCCGUCCGGUUCCUGUUCAACUUGCUUCCACUUUUUAUAAAAACUGUCUCGAUGCAGCGCCUUAUUAUGCAGCUAAAUGGCUUGAUGAGGAGUUACAAGAUAUUGGAGGAUGGCCUUUAAUUUCGAACAACCAGGAGGAAACAACUACAGUAAAUGUUGAGAAUGGAGAUUCGGAAAGUUCAGACUCUGAAGAUUUAGUCAAGGCCUCUGUUAACUGGACUGAUAGCUAUGUUAA